GUUGCUUUCAUCAACCAAACCAGCUGAAAAUCCAUCAACUGGUUUUUUACAGAGAUCUUUGAGUUGUUUCUGAAGUAGGAGACUAGCUUGAGAAGGAGAAGUUGAAGCCAUUAUACUUCAAAUAGAUUCUUGUGGCAAAGAAAUCAAAAAACAGAAUCAGUAGAUUUAUACAAACUAUUCAAAUCCCUGUAAAGGUUUCAAUUCAGAAGUCAAAUAAGUA
RNAcentral lists this unclassified non-coding RNA (220 nucleotides) under Hevea brasiliensis (rubber tree). The record is from RNAcentral. Lineage: Eukaryota; Viridiplantae; Streptophyta; Magnoliopsida; Malpighiales; Euphorbiaceae.